AACCCCUGUGAACAUACCACUUGUUGCCUCGGCGGAUCAGCCCGCUCCCGGUAAAACGGGACGGCCCGCCAGAGGACCCCUAAACUCUGUUUCUAUAUGUAACUUCUGAGUAAAACCAUAAAUAAAUCAAAACUUUCAACAACGGAUCUCUUGGUUCUGGCAUCGAUGAAGAACGCAGCAAAAUGCGAUAAGUAAUGUGAAUUGCAGAAUUCAGUGAAUCAUCGAAUCUUUGAACGCACAUUGCGCCCGCCAGUAUUCUGGCGGGCAUGCCUGUUCGAGCGUCAUUUCAACCCUCAAGCACAGCUUGGUGUUGGGACUCGCGUUAAUUCGCGUUCCUCAAAUUGAUUGGCGGUCACGUCGAGCUUCCAUAGCGUAGUAGUAAAACCCUCGUUACUGGUAAUCGUCGCGGCCACGCCGUUAAACCCCAACUUCUGAAUGUUGACCUCGGAUCAGGUAGGAAUACCCGCUGAACUUAAGCAUAUCAAUAAGCGGAGGA
RNAcentral lists this ribosomal RNA (496 nucleotides) under Fusarium sp. PVF14. RNAcentral's name for it is "eukaryotic LSU rRNA". The stretch from base 131 to 284 matches the Rfam family "5.8S ribosomal RNA". The record is from RNAcentral. Lineage: Eukaryota; Fungi; Ascomycota; Sordariomycetes; Hypocreales; Nectriaceae. RNAcentral also lists the same sequence under 17 other names.